AUACGUAGGGGGCGAGCGUUGUCCGGAAUGAUUGGGCGUAAAGGGCGCGUAGGCGGCCCGGUAAGUCUGGAGUGAAAGUCCUGUUUUUAAGAUGGGAAUUGCUUUGGAUACUGUCGGGCUUGAGUGCAGGAGAGGUAAGUGGAAUUCCCAGUGUAGCGGUGAAAUGCGUAGAGAUUGGGAGGAACACCAGUGGCGAAGGCGACUUACUGGACUGUAACUGACGCUGAGGCGCGAAAGUGUGGGGAGCAAACAGGAUUAGAUACCCUGGUAGUCCACACUGUAGACGAUGAAUGCUAGGUGUAGGGGGUAUCGACCCCUUCUGUGCCGCAGUCAACACAAUAAGCAUUCCGCCUGGGGAGUACGGUCGCAAGGUUGAAACUCAAAGGAAUUGACGGGG
This 397-nucleotide ribosomal RNA is filed under the name uncultured bacterium. Its description in RNAcentral is "partial 16S ribosomal RNA". It matches the Rfam family "Bacterial small subunit ribosomal RNA", at positions 523 to 918 of the family's 1533-position model. The record is from RNAcentral.